This is a long non-coding RNA of Erpetoichthys calabaricus (reedfish), 709 nucleotides long. RefSeq lists it as uncharacterized. The record is from RefSeq and is a predicted model, not a curated record. Lineage: Eukaryota; Metazoa; Chordata; Cladistia; Polypteriformes; Polypteridae. The transcript has 4 exons.
GGUGUCUGGCGAGCUCAUACCAGUGUGAUGGUCACGUGUCUACAGACUCUUGGCCAUGUGGUCUAGAAACCCCUGACGUGCCACACACUGGGGGGAUUCCUGCUAAGUGGAAGGUGGCAGAUGUUGUUUAGUUACAUAAAGGAGGUGGCCAAACUGCGCCGGGUAAUGCAAGCCAGUAAACGUAACGUGUGCCACCAUAGGGACAUUAAUGGAAGGAAAGGAGCCCCACCUGUCACUUAGUCAGCGGUCCGCAUGCGUUUAGACGGGGGGGUCGUGUUGAGUUCACUUGAAACACAAGCAGACGAUCAGAGAGGUGCAGAUGAGCUUAUUGAAACUGAAACAAGGGGUGGUCUGUGUGGGGGGGUAUCAUUGGAGGUGCAGAUGAGCUUAUUGAAACUGAAACAAGGGGUGGUCUGUGUGGGGGGGUAUCAUUGGAGGUGCAGAUGAGCUUAUUGAAACUGAAACAAGUGGGCAUCAGGGGGUGGUCUGUGUGGGGGGGGUAUCAUUGGAGGUGCAGAUGAGCUUAUUGAAACUGAAACAAGUGGGCAUCAGGGGGUGGUCUGUGUGGGGGGGUAUCAUUGGAGGUGCAGAUGAGCUUAUUGAAACUGAAACAAGUGGGCAUCAGGGGGUGGUCUGUGGGUGGGAAGGGUGGUAUCAUUGGUGGAAAGACCAGGAAUAAAUGCAGUGUUCACGAGAUCUCGAACAGACG